Molecule: long non-coding RNA, 1685 nt
Filed under: Prunus dulcis (almond)
Lineage: Eukaryota; Viridiplantae; Streptophyta; Magnoliopsida; Rosales; Rosaceae
Description: sRNA ncRNA
Source: RNAcentral
GCCAUUUUCAUCAAAAAUUACAUCUCUAGAGAGCAAAACCUUCUGAGUUGCAGGAUUCAAUAUCCUGUAUCCCUUCUCACAUGCACCAUAUCCAAUAAAAACUCCUAUGGCACUAGUUGCUUCCAAUUUGUGCCUUAAAUUUCCUGGAAUAAGAGGAUAACACACUGAGCCAAACACUUUUAGGUGUUUAAUUCUAGGUUUUCUUCCACUGAAUUUCUCAAACUGUGUAAUGUUCUCCAAGGCUUUAGAUAUACUGAUGUGUUCACUGCUUCACACCAAAGACUAUAUGGAAGCUCCUGCUCAUGAAUCAUGCAUUUUGCCAUUUCCACAACAGUCCUAUUUUUUCUUUCUGCCACACCAUUCUGUUUUGGAGAGUAUGCAAUAGUGAGCUGCCUUUCGAUCCCCAAAUCUUCACAAAACUUUGCAAAAUUUGUUGAAAUAUACUAUCCUCCCCUAUAUGUUCUUAGCUUCUUUACAUGGUAUCCACAUUGAAGCUCCAGCAUUGCUUUGACUUUUUGAACACACGGAAUGUCUCAGACUUGUUUCUUAAGAAACAAACCUAGCACAUUCUUGAAAAAUCAUCUAUAAAUGUGAUGAAGUAUCUGUUUCCACUCAGACUUGGUGUUUUCAUAGGACCACACAAUUCUGAAUGAAUCAGUUCUUGUGGCUCCUUUGCUCUCCAUUUUGAUUUUUUAGGAAAUGCCUCCUUAUGACUUUUUCCAAAUACACAUCCUUGACACACUGCAUCAUUGUUUUGGAUUUCAGGCAGUCCCAACACCAUCUCUUGACUCUGCAGCAGCUUGAGACUUCUGAAAUUCAAAUGCCCAAACCUUUUGUGCCAUAUACUGGAACAUUCUUGCACAUUUGCUUUCAAUGCAAGCUCUUUGUUAUUUCUGAAGAUUAAAGGAAAACAUAUGUUGCCCUUCUGUUUCACAAUGACCACUAAGUUUCUUAAAUGUCUAUCAUCAAAGAUAUCCGCCUUAUAGUCUCCAAAUAGAAGGAAAUAACCAUGCUCAGUCAUCUGCCCUACACUGAGCAAAUUCUCUGCUAGACCAGGUACCAGCAUGACUUCCUUUAUAUGUUUUCUUCCAUUCAUUGUGUCAAUAACCAGCGUUCCUUUUCUAGUCACUUCAACUAAAACUCCAUUGCCUACUUGAACCUUUGCUUUCACUCUUCUGUCAAUGUCUACAAACAAGUCUUCCCUGGAUGUCAUAUGGUUACUACAUCCACUAUCAAUGUACCAUUCAUCACUUAUCCUCUUUAAUUCUCCAGAAUGAUUAGCAAAAAAUAAGUUUCCAGUUCCUUCAAUCUGAUUUGCAAAGUUCACCUGCUGCACAGCCUUGUUUGUAUGACAAUAUUUUGCAAUAUGCCCAAUUUUGUUACACUUGUGACACUUGACCUUAUUCUUAAACCAACACUCUCCAUAGUACAAUUUAUCACAGAAUUUGCAUUUAUUCCCAGUAUUGUCUGUCUCAUUUUUCACAGAGGAAUUAGUCUUAUUACCUCCAUCACCCUUGUUGCCCCAUUGUUGCCCGUGUGGUUUGGCAUUCUUCUGAGACUUACUGGUGUGACCAUUAGACCGAGAUGCCUUUGAUCCAAUGUUGAAGCUAGCAAAUGCUUUCUCUGCACUUUUGUCACUGUGCCUAUCAAGCCUAUGCUCAUAUCCUUUUAAAAUUGCAACUACA